Molecule: ribosomal RNA, 253 nt
Filed under: uncultured prokaryote
Description: partial 16S ribosomal RNA
Rfam family: Bacterial small subunit ribosomal RNA
Source: RNAcentral
ACGUAGGGUGCAGGCGUUAAUCGGAAUUACUGGGCGUAAAGCGUGCGCAGGCGGUUUUGUAAGCCAGAUGUGAAAUCCCCGGGCUUAACCUGGGAAUGGCAUUUGGGACUGCAAGGCUGGAGUGCGGCAGAGGGGGAUGGAAUUCCGCGUGUAGCAGUGAAAUGCGUAGAUAUGCGGAGGAACACCGAUGGCGAAGGCAAUCCCCUGGGCCUGCACUGACGCUCAUGCACGAAAGCGUGGGGAGCAAACAGGA